This is a long non-coding RNA of Triticum aestivum (bread wheat), 234 nucleotides long. RefSeq lists it as uncharacterized. The record is from RefSeq and is a predicted model, not a curated record. The transcript is spliced from 2 exons. NCBI's taxonomy places the organism in Eukaryota, Viridiplantae, Streptophyta, Magnoliopsida, Poales, Poaceae.
CGCGACUGUUCGUGGUCAUGCAAGACCAGAACCAACCAAGCGUUCCAAAAAAUCUCUUACCACAGAAGCAUUAUUCCCAGGCGGUAGAUUUCUAGACCGCGUCCCUUGAAGCACGAACUAACCAAACCAAGCUACAAGUGUGGAGUGCUCCAGAUGCAGGAUCCGAAACAGCCUGUGAAAAUCUGAACGAGUACUAUACUACAAGCAGAAAAAUUUAUGCAUAUAUUCGUUUUA